GAGUUUGAUCCUGGUUCAGAUUGAACGCUGGCGGCAGGCCUAACACAUGCAAGUCGAGCGGUAGAGAGAAGCUUGCUUCUCUUGAGAGCGGCGGACGGGUGAGUAAUGCCUAGGAAUCUGCCUGGUAGUGGGGGAUAACGUUCGGAAACGGACGCUAAUACCGCAUACGUCCUACGGGAGAAAGCAGGGGACCUUCGGGCCUUGCGCUAUCAGAUGAGCCUAGGUCGGAUUAGCUAGUUGGUGGGGUAAAGGCUCACCAAGGCGACGAUCCGUAACUGGUCUGAGAGGAUGAUCAGUCACACUGGAACUGAGACACGGUCCAGACUCCUACGGGAGGCAGCAGUGGGGAAUAUUGGACAAUGGGCGAAAGCCUGAUCCAGCCAUGCCGCGUGUGUGAAGAAGGUCUUCGGAUUGUAAAGCACUUUAAGUUGGGAGGAAGGGCAGUAACUUAAUACGUUGCUGUUUUAACGUUACCGACAGAAUAAGCACCGGCUAACUCUGUGCCAGCAGCCGCGGUAAUAC
RNAcentral lists this ribosomal RNA (522 nucleotides) under uncultured Pseudomonas sp. RNAcentral describes it as "bacterial SSU rRNA". It matches the Rfam family "Bacterial small subunit ribosomal RNA", at positions 9 to 526 of the family's 1533-position model. Lineage: Bacteria; Pseudomonadati; Pseudomonadota; Gammaproteobacteria; Pseudomonadales; Pseudomonadaceae. The record is from RNAcentral.